UGAAUACGAGACGCUACGGCGUCGAAGCAGUCUAUGUCAUACUUCCAAGAAAAGCUUGCACUGUCAUAAACAAAUAAUGCCUGUACCAUAACCGACACAGGUGGGUAGGUAGAGUAUACUAAGGGGCGCGAGAUAACUCUCUCUAAGGAACUUGGCAAAAUGACUCCGUAACUUCGGGAGAAGGAGUGCCUUAUUUAUAAGGUUGCAAUAACAAGAUCCAAGCAACUGUUUAUCAAAAACACAGGUCUCCGCUAAGUCGUAAGACGAUGUAUGGGGGCUGACGCCUGCCCAGUGCCAGAAGGUUAAAGAAGUUGGUUAGCAUUAGCGAAGCUGAUAACUGAAGCCCUGGUGAACGGCGGCCGUAACUAUAACGGUCCUAAGGUAGCGAAAUUUUUUGUCGGGUAAGUUCCGACCCGCACGAAAGGCGUAAUGAUUUGGAUACUGUCUCGGAGAGGGGCUCGGUGAAAUAGACUUGUCUGUGAAGAUGCGGACUACCUGCACCUGGACAGAAAGACCCUAUGAAGCUUUACUGUAACCUGAAAUUGAAAUUGGACUUUAUUUGCGCAGUAUAGGUGGGAGGCGUUGAGAAUAUUCUUGCGGGAAUAUUGGAGCCAUCAGUGAGAUACCACUCUUGUAAUGUUAGAUUUCUAACUUUGAAUCAUUAUCUGGUCAAAGAACAGUUUCAGGCGGGCAGUUUGACUGGGGCGGUCGCCUCCUAAAUGGUAACGGAGGCGCACAAAGGUUUCCUCUGAAUGGGUAGAAAUUGUAUUUAGAGUGUAAAGGCAUAAGGAAGCUUGACUGUGAGACCUACAAGUCGAGCAGGGACGAAAGUCGGUCUUAGUGAUCUGACGGUGCUGAGUGGAAAGGCCGUCACUCAACGGAUAAAAGUUACUCUAGGAUAACAGGCUGAUCUCCCCCAAGAGUUUAUAUCGACGGGGAGGUUUGGCACCUCGAUGUCGGCUCAUCGCAUCCUGGGGCGGUAGUACGUCCCAAGGGUUGGGCUGUUCGCCCAUGAAAGCGGUACGCGAGCUGGGUUCAGAACGUCGUGAGACAGUUCGGUCCAUAUCCGGUGUAGGCGUUAGAAUAUUGAGAGGAGCCUUCUUUAGUACGAGAGGACCGAGAAGGACAUACCUCUGGUGUACCAGUUAUCGUGCCAACGGUAAACGCUGGGUAGCUAUGUAUGGAGAGGAUAACCGCUGAAAGUAUCUAAGUGGGAAGCCCACCUCAAGAUAAGUA
Molecule: ribosomal RNA, 1236 nt
Filed under: metagenome
Description: bacterial LSU rRNA
Rfam family: Bacterial large subunit ribosomal RNA
Source: RNAcentral